GACGAACGCUGGCGGCGUGCUUAACACAUGCAAGUCGAACGGAAAGGCCCUGCUUUUGUGGGGUGCUCGAGUGGCGGACGGGUGAGUAACACGUGAGUAACCUGCCCUUGACUUUGGGAUAACUUCAGGAAACUGGGGCUAAUACCGGAUAGGAGCUCCUGCUGCAUGGUGGGGGUUGGAAAGUUUCGGCGGUUGGGGAUGGACUCGCGGCUUAUCAGCUUGUUGGUGGGGUAGUGGCUUACCAAGGCUUUGACGGGUAGCCGGCCUGAGAGGGUGACCGGCCACAUUGGGACUGAGAUACGGCCCAGACUCCUACGGGAGGCAGCAGUGGGGAAUAUUGCACAAUGGGCGGAAGCCUGAUGCAGCAACGCCGCGUGCGGGAUGAAGGCCUUCGGGUUGUAAACCGCUUUCGCCUGUGACGAAGCGUGAGUGACGGUAAUGGGUAAAGAAGCACCGGCUAACUACGUG
RNAcentral lists this ribosomal RNA (468 nucleotides) under uncultured bacterium. RNAcentral describes it as "partial 16S ribosomal RNA". It matches the Rfam family "Bacterial small subunit ribosomal RNA", at positions 28 to 507 of the family's 1533-position model. The record is from RNAcentral.